UUAUCGGAGAGUUUGAUCCUGGCUCAGGACGAACGCUGGCGGCGUGCCUAAUACAUGCAAGUCGAGCGGACAGAUGGGAGCUUGCUCCCUGAUGUUAGCGGCGGACGGGUGAGUAACACGUGGGUAACCUGCCUGUAAGACUGGGAUAACUCCGGGAAACCGGGGCUAAUACCGGAUGGUUGUUUGAACCGCAUGGUUCAAACAUAAAAGGUGGCUUCGGCUACCACUUACAGAUGGACCCGCGGCGCAUUAGCUAGUUGGUGAGGUAAUGGCUCACCAAGGCGACGAUGCGUAGCCGACCUGAGAGGGUGAUCUAGCACACUGGGACUGAGACACGGUACCAGACUCCUACGGGAGGCAGCAGUAGGGAAUCUUCCGCAAUGGACGAAAGUCUGACGGAGCAACGCCGCGUGAGUGAUGAAGGUUUUCGGAUCGUAAAGCUCUGUUGUUAGGGAAGAACAAGUACCGUUCGAAUAGGGCGGUACCUUGACGGUACCUAACCAGAAAGCCACGGCUAACUACGUGCCAGCAGCCGCGGUAAUACGUAGGUGGCAAGCGUUGUCCGGAAUUAUUGGGCGUAAAGGGCUCGCAGGCGGUUUCUUAAGUCUGAUGUGAAAGCCCCCGGCUCAACCGGGGAGGGUCAUUGGAAACUGGGGAACUUGAGUGCAGAAGAGGAGAGUGGAAUUCCACGUGUAGCGGUGAAAUGCGUAGAGAUGUGGAGGAACACCAGUGGCGAAGGCGACUCUCUGGUCUGUAACUGACGCUGAGGAGCGAAAGCGUGGGGAGCGAACAGGAUUAGAUACCCUGGUAGUCCACGCCGUAAACGAUGAGUGCUAAGUGUUAGGGGGUUUCCGCCCCUUAGUGCUGCAGCUAACGCAUUAAGCACUCCGCCUGGGGAGUACGGUCGCAAGACUGAAACUCAAAGGAAUUGACGGGGGACCGCACAAGCGGUGGAGCAUGUGGUUUAAUUCGAAGCAACGCGAAGAACCUUACCAGGUCUUGACAUCCUCUGACAAUCCUAGAGAUAGGACGUCCCCUUCGGGGGCAGAGUGACAGGUGGUGCAUGGUUGUCGUCAGCUCGUGUCGUGAGAUGUUGGGUUAAGUCCCGCAACGAGCGCAACCCUUGAUCUUAGUUGCCAGCAUUCAGUUGGGCACUCUAAGGUGACUGCCGGUGACAAACCGGAGGAAGGUGGGGAUGACGUCAAAUCAUCAUGCCCCUUAUGACCUGGGCUACACACGUGCUACAAUGGACAGAACAAAGGGCAGCGAAACCGCGAGGUUAAGCCAAUCCCACAAAUCUGUUCUCAGUUCGGAUCGCAGUCUGCAACUCGACUGCGUGAAGCUGGAAUCGCUAGUAAUCGCGGAUCAGCAUGCCGCGGUGAAUACGUUCCCGGCCUUGUACACACCGCCCGUCACACCACGAGAGUUUGUAACACCCGAAGUCGGUGAGGUAACCUUUUAGGAGCCAGCCGCCGAAGGUGGGACAGAUGAUUGGGGUGAAGUCGUAACAAGGUAGCCGUAUCGGAAGGUGCGGCUGGAUCACCUCCUUU
RNAcentral lists this ribosomal RNA (1550 nucleotides) under Bacillus subtilis. RNAcentral describes it as "bacterial SSU rRNA". It matches the Rfam family "Bacterial small subunit ribosomal RNA". Lineage: Bacteria; Bacillati; Bacillota; Bacilli; Caryophanales; Bacillaceae. The record is from RNAcentral.